This 1140-nucleotide long non-coding RNA is filed under the name Zea mays. RNAcentral describes it as "long non-coding RNA (ZMAY_LNC000874)". The record is from RNAcentral. Lineage: Eukaryota; Viridiplantae; Streptophyta; Magnoliopsida; Poales; Poaceae.
GAGGCCAUCCAUGCCGCAUCCAUCGUGACCUAGACGUCGCCGGACCACCUCCCGCGGGACCCGGUGGCGAGUCAGUGUGGGAGCAGGGGAGGAAGGUAGACGCGGUUGGUAGAGGAAGUUCGUUCAUCGCAGCCCGCAGAGGUCCACCACCACCACGACAACGCUAGCAGAUCUUCAUCCUAAUUCAUGUAUGAAAAUUUUCGGUUGUUGUUCUAGUUAAGAACAUUUGCCUUCUCUAUAUUGCCUUUUAGAUUUAAUUGUCAACUUGUCACAAAUCGUGUAUCAACAAUGAUAAGAAGCCUGCUAUAUCACGUAACGGGUGAUCUGAACUUGGGUAGUUGGGUUAAUAGCUCGAUGAACUUUGAAUUCAGGAUUAACUGGAUAAUUUUGAUGCUUAUCUGUUGUUGCGUAGAGCGCUUCAGUUCUUUCCAGCGCUUCGGUCUUUCCAACGCCAUGAUUCCGGUUAUUGUGGAGUAGCACAGAGUGCCGGAGGAAUCUGUUGGAUUCUCCUGGUGCUGGCUCGGUUCCUUGGGAGUUGGUGGUGGUGUGCCUUGAGCGAUUUGGUGCGCCGCGGAUUGUUGUUGGGCGAGGGUGACUACACAGACAAGGGUCGUGUGGAGAGCCGAGGCGAGGAGGAGGGAAGGGAAAGGGGGCGCAUGGACGAGUAGUGGCUGGGGGAGUUCUGGGUUUGUCAUUGACUCCUUUCUCAGCCCUUCUUAGUGUGGUGGGGUGGAAAAAGAUGAGCUUUCUUUUACUGAUGCAUCGUUCUGCAUUUUCUGGCUGUAAAAUGUCAAUGUCAAAUUGAUGGUAACAGUAUGCUAGCACUCUUCUUUUUUCCUUAAUCAUUUGGAGGUGUUAUUAAUUCUAUAUGAUGCACUCAAAUUUUGUUGAUACAUUGAGCUCAACUUCCCUGUUUUUCCUUUAGAUUUUACUUAUUGUAGAAAUUGUUUUAUAUUGUUGGUAGGUGUUAUUGACCAUGUAAGGAGACAUAUACUUUUCUAGCUUGAUGGAUGAGGCGAACAAUAACUUGUCUUUGGAUGACUUCAGUGUCCUGCCUGAGGUAAAUCCAUCAGGCAAUGAGCAUGAACCACCCAUUGUUCAGAGUACUCCAUUAUCAAGACCCAAUUAGAAAAGGACAAA